CGUCCUAUUAGCUAGUUGGUGAGGUAAUGGCUCACCAAGGCUACGAUGGGUAGGGGUUCUUAGUGGAAGGUCCCCCACACUGGCACUGAGAUACGGGCCAGACUCCUACGGGAGGCAGCAGUAGGGAAUAUUGGUCAAUGGGCGCAAGCCUGAACCAGCCAUGCCGCGUGCAGGAUGAAGGCUCUCUGAGUUGUAAACUGCUUUUGUACAGGAGCAAAAAAAUCCCUGCGGGGGUUCUUGAGAGUACUGUAAGAAUAAGCACCGGCUAAUUCCGUGCCAGCAGCCGCGGUAAUACGGAAGGUGCAAGCGUUAUCCGGUUUUAUUGGGUUUAAAGGGUGCGUAGGCGGCUUAUUAAGUCAGUUGUGAAAUCCUAGUGCUUAACGCUAGAACUGCGAUUGAUACUAUU
This 406-nucleotide ribosomal RNA is filed under the name Candidatus Cardinium sp. RNAcentral's name for it is "bacterial SSU rRNA". It matches the Rfam family "Bacterial small subunit ribosomal RNA", at positions 234 to 637 of the family's 1533-position model. Lineage: Bacteria; Pseudomonadati; Bacteroidota; Cytophagia; Cytophagales; Amoebophilaceae. The record is from RNAcentral.